RNAcentral lists this unclassified non-coding RNA (299 nucleotides) under Megasphaera elsdenii. RNAcentral's name for it is "Long range pseudoknot". The record is from RNAcentral. Lineage: Bacteria; Bacillati; Bacillota; Negativicutes; Veillonellales; Veillonellaceae.
ACGUUAAGAUGAAAGCUGCGCAGCGUUUCCUGGGUGAAGGCAGCAAAGUCAAAGUUACGAUCAUGUUCCGCGGCCGCGAAAUGAGCCAUCCGGAACUGGGCCGUGAUUUGCUGGUUCGAUUCGCUGAUGAAUUGAAAGACACCGCCCAUGUAGAAAAAGAACCUAAAAUCGAAGGCAGAAACAUGACCAUGGUCAUCGCUGUCAACAAGAAGUAACAGGAGGACAAUUAUUAUGCCGAAAUUGAAAACUCGCCGUGCUGCGGCAAAACGCUUUAACACAACUGGUACAGGUAAAAUCAA